This 407-nucleotide ribosomal RNA is filed under the name uncultured bacterium. Its description in RNAcentral is "partial 16S ribosomal RNA". It matches the Rfam family "Bacterial small subunit ribosomal RNA", at positions 30 to 526 of the family's 1533-position model. The record is from RNAcentral.
AUUGAACGCUGGCGGCAGGCCUAACACAUGCAAGUCGAGCGGAGCGGCGGACGGGUGAGUAAUGAUCAGGAAUCUGCCUGGUCGUGGGGGAUAACGUCCGGAAACGGGCGCUAAUACUGCAUACUAUUAGACUAGCCUAGGUCGGAUUAGCUAGGUGGUGGGGUAAAGGCCUACCAAGGCGACGAUCCGUAGCUGGUCUGAGAGGAGGAUCAGUCACACUGGAACUGAGACACGGCCCAGACUCCUACGGGAGGCAGCAGUGGGGAAUAUUGGACAAUGGGCGAAAGCCUGAUCCAGCCAUGCCGCGUGUGUGAAGAAGGUCUUCGGAUUGUAAAGCACUUUAAGUUUGGAGGCGUUACCAACAGAAUAAGCACCGGCUAACUCCGUGCCAGCAGCCGCGGUAAUAC